AUUGAACGCUGGCGGAAUGCUUUACACAUGCAAGUCGAACGGCAGCACGGGGCAACCUGGUGGCGAGUGGCGAACGGGUGAGUAAUAUAUCGGAACGUGCCCAAUCGUGGGGAUAACGUAGCGAAAGUUACGCUAAUACCGCAUACGAUCUACGGAUGAAAGCGGGGGAUCGCAAGACCUCGCGCGAAUGGAGCGGCCGAUAUCAGAUUAGGUAGUUGGUGGGGUAGAGGCUCACCAAGCCAACGAUCUGUAGCUGGUCUGAGAGGACGACCAGCCACACUGGAACUGAGACACGGUCCAGACUCCUACGGGAGGCAGCAGUGGGGAAUUUUGGACAAUGGGCGCAAGCCUGAUCCAGCCAUUCCGCGUGCAGGAUGAAGGCCUUCGGGUUGUAAACGUGCUUUGUACGGUAACGAAACGGUACUGCCCUAAUACGGACAGGCUAAUGACGGUACCGUAAGAAUAAGACACCGGCGUAACUACGUGCCA
RNAcentral lists this ribosomal RNA (489 nucleotides) under uncultured bacterium. RNAcentral's name for it is "bacterial SSU rRNA". It matches the Rfam family "Bacterial small subunit ribosomal RNA", at positions 30 to 510 of the family's 1533-position model. The record is from RNAcentral.